This 497-nucleotide ribosomal RNA is filed under the name Chilocorus cacti. RNAcentral describes it as "partial 16S ribosomal RNA". The stretch from base 371 to 497 matches the Rfam family "Bacterial large subunit ribosomal RNA", at positions 2473 to 2600 of the family's 2925-position model. Lineage: Eukaryota; Metazoa; Arthropoda; Insecta; Coleoptera; Coccinellidae. The record is from RNAcentral.
UUUUUGUUUAAAAUUUAAAGUAAGACCUGCCCMCUGAAAUUUUUAAAGGGCCGCAGUAUUUUGACUGUGCAAAGGUAGCAUAAUCAUUAGUUUUUUAAUUGAAAGCUUGUAUGAAAGGUUAAAUGAAAAAAAAUCUGUUUCAAAUUUAAAUUAAAAUUUUAUUUUUAAGUUAAAAAGCUUAAUUAAUUUUAAAAGACGAGAAGACCCUAUAGAGUUUAAUUUAAAGUUUAUAUUAAAAAAAGGAAAUAAAUAUAAAUUAUAAAUUUUAUUGGGGUGAUAGAAAAAUUAAAUUAACUUUUUUUAUAUUUAUACAUUGAUUUAUGAAUUUUUGAUCCAAUAUUUUUUGAUUAAAAGAUUAAAUUACCUUAGGGAUAACAGCGUAAUUUUUUUAAGAAGUUCUUAUUUUAAAAAGAGAUUGCGACCUCGAUGUUGGAUUAAAAUUAAUAGUUGGUGAAGAAGCUAAUUUAUUAGGUCUGUUCGACCUUUAAAAUUUUACA